Molecule: non-coding RNA, 83 nt
Organism: Canis lupus familiaris (dog)
Lineage: Eukaryota; Metazoa; Chordata; Mammalia; Carnivora; Canidae
Source: Rfam
GCCUGGGUGGCUCAGUGGUUGAGCGCCUGCUUUCAGCCCAGGGCGUGAUCCUGGAGUCCUGGGAUCGAGUCCCACAUCAGGCU